This 707-nucleotide ribosomal RNA is filed under the name Rheinheimera mesophila. Its description in RNAcentral is "bacterial SSU rRNA". It matches the Rfam family "Bacterial small subunit ribosomal RNA", at positions 1 to 714 of the family's 1533-position model. The record is from RNAcentral. Lineage: Bacteria; Pseudomonadati; Pseudomonadota; Gammaproteobacteria; Chromatiales; Chromatiaceae.
UUAAUUGAAGAGUUUGAUCAUGGCUCAGAUUGAACGCUGGCGGCAGGCCUAACACAUGCAAGUCGAGCGGGGUUUUCGGACCUAGCGGCGGACGGGUGAGUAAUGCGUAGGAAGCUGCCCGAUAGAGGGGGAUACCAGUUGGAAACGACUGUUAAUACCGCAUAAUGUCUACGGACCAAAGUGUGGGACCUUCGGGCCACAUGCUAUCGGAUGCGCCUACGUGGGAUUAGCUAGUUGGUGAGGUAAUGGCUCACCAAGGCGACGAUCUCUAGCUGGUUUGAGAGGAUGAUCAGCCACACUGGAACUGAGACACGGUCCAGACUCCUACGGGAGGCAGCAGUGGGGAAUAUUGGACAAUGGGCGCAAGCCUGAUCCAGCCAUGCCGCGUGUGUGAAGAAGGCCUUCGGGUUGUAAAGCACUUUCAGCGAGGAGGAAGGGUGGUGUGUUAAUAGCACAUCAUUUUGACGUUACUCGCAGAAGAAGCACCGGCUAACUCUGUGCCAGCAGCCGCGGUAAUACAGAGGGUGCAAGCGUUAAUCGGAAUUACUGGGCGUAAAGCGCACGUAGGCGGUUUUUUAAGUCAGAUGUGAAAGCCCCGGGCUCAACCUGGGAAUUGCAUUUGAAACUGGGAAACUAGAGUGUGUGAGAGGGGGGUAGAAUUCCAAGUGUAGCGGUGAAAUGCGUAGAGAUUUGGAGGAAUACCAGUG